RNAcentral lists this ribosomal RNA (433 nucleotides) under uncultured bacterium. RNAcentral's name for it is "partial 16S ribosomal RNA". It matches the Rfam family "Bacterial small subunit ribosomal RNA", at positions 29 to 507 of the family's 1533-position model. The record is from RNAcentral.
AGCGAACGCUGGCGGCAGGCCUAACACAUGCCAGUCGAGCGGACCUUUCGGGGUCAGCGGCGGACGGGUGAGUAACGCGUGGGAACGUGCCUUCCGGUUCGGAAUAACCCUGGGAAACUAGGGCUAAUACCGGAUACGCCCUUAUGGGGAAAGGUUUACUGCCGGAAGAUCGGCCCGCGUCUGAUUAGCUAGUUGGUGGGGUAACGGCCUACCAAGGCGACGAUCAGUAGCUGGUCUGAGAGGAUGAUCAGCCACACUGGGACUGAGACACGGCCCAGACUCCUACGGGAGGCAGCAGUGGGGAAUAUUGGACAAUGGGCGCAAGCCUGAUCCAGCCAUGCCGCGUGAGUGAUGAAGGCCUUAGGGUUGUAAAGCUCUUUUAUCCGGGACGAUAAUGACGGUACCGGAGGAAUAAGCCCCGGCUAACUUCGUG